UGGGGAAUUUUGGACAAUGGGCGAAAGCCUGAUCCAGCAAUGCCGCGUGUGUGAAGAAGGCCUUCGGGUUGUAAAGCACUUUUGUCCGGAAAGAAAUGGCUCUGGUUAAUACCUGGGGUCGAUGACGGUACCGGAAGAAUAAGGACCGGCUAACUACGUGCCAGCAGCCGCGGUAAUACGUAGGGUCCAAGCGUUAAUCGGAAUUACUGGGCGUAAAGCGUGCGCAGGCGGUUGUGCAAGACCGAUGUGAAAUCCCCGAGCUUAACUUGGGAAUUGCAUUGGUGACUGCACGGCUAGAGUGUGUCAGAGGGGGGUAGAAUUCCACGUGUAGCAGUGAAAUGCGUAGAGAUGUGGAGGAAUACCGAUGGCGAAGGCAGCCCCCUGGGAUAACACUGACGCUCAUGCACGAAAGCGUGGGGAGCAAACAGGAUUAGAUACCCUGGUAGUCCACGCCCUAAACGAUGUCAACUAGUUGUUGGGGAUUCAUUUCCUUAGUAACGUAGCUAA
RNAcentral lists this ribosomal RNA (507 nucleotides) under uncultured bacterium. RNAcentral describes it as "partial 16S ribosomal RNA". It matches the Rfam family "Bacterial small subunit ribosomal RNA", at positions 355 to 855 of the family's 1533-position model. The record is from RNAcentral.